UACGUAGGGUGCAAGCGUUGUCCGGAUUUACUGGGCGUAAAGAGCGCGUAGGCGGUCGUAUAAGUCGAAUGUGAAAGCCCCCGGCUCAACUGGGGAGGGUCAUUCGAUACUGUUCGACUCGAAGGCAGGAGAGGGAAGUGGAAUUCCGGGUGUAGUGGUGAAAUGCGUAGAUAUCCGGAGGAACACCAGUGGCGAAGGCGGAUCUCUGGGCCAUUACUGACGCUGAGGAGCGAAAGCGUGGGGAGCGAACAGG
Molecule: ribosomal RNA, 253 nt
Filed under: uncultured bacterium
Lineage: Bacteria
Description: partial 16S ribosomal RNA
Rfam family: Bacterial small subunit ribosomal RNA
Source: RNAcentral